This 250-nucleotide ribosomal RNA is filed under the name uncultured bacterium. RNAcentral describes it as "partial 16S ribosomal RNA". It matches the Rfam family "Bacterial small subunit ribosomal RNA", at positions 524 to 773 of the family's 1533-position model. The record is from RNAcentral.
UACAGAGGGUGCGAGCGUUAAUCGGAUUUACUGGGCGUAAAGCGUGCGUAGGCGGCUGAAUAAGUCGGAUGUGAAAUCCCCGAGCUUAACUUGGGAAUUGCAUACGAUACUGUUUGGCUAGAGUAUGGGAGAGGAUGGUAGAAUUCCAGGUGUAGCGGUGAAAUGCGUAGAGAUCUGGAGGAAUACCGAUGGCGAAGGCAGCCAUCUGGCCUAAUACUGACGCUGAGGUACGAAAGCAUGGGGAGCAAAC